GGGGGUGUAUUUGGUUUCGACAUGAUGCGUUUCACGUUUAGGAGCGAGCCGAGGAGUUGUCUGGCCUCGUUAAAAAGGCAAAUUAAACAUAAGUGCAGAUACAACAGCAUUUAAAAACAGUUUCGCGACUGACUUCGCGUUAGCAGCUUAAUAAUAUUAGGUUGCGCGUCUUUCCCGAUAUGUCAGUGAUCGCUUAAGACGUCAUCUAACUGACUAUUUCUGCUUUCAGGCAACAGAAAGUGGAAGAAAUUUUAGUUGCUUGCUUUAGGAUUUUCUCUGCUUUUGGAGAUGCUUAAGGGACUUUAAACAAAAGAUACGCUCGUAGUGCCUUUUCCUGUUAGUAUUAUGGACAGGGGUUCGACUCCCCUCACCUCCACCA
Molecule: transfer-messenger RNA, 379 nt
Filed under: Candidatus Margulisbacteria bacterium GWF2_35_9
Lineage: Bacteria; Bacillati; Candidatus Margulisiibacteriota
Also listed under: 1 other name
Rfam family: transfer-messenger RNA
About the family: Bacterial tmRNA, also known as 10Sa RNA or SsrA, is named for its dual tRNA and mRNA-like properties.
Source: RNAcentral